UUAGCUAAUAGCUACAGGUAGCUGCACUUAGUUAAUAGCUACAGGUAACUGCACUUAGUUAAUAGCUACAGGUAACUGCACUUAGUUAAUAACUACAGGUAACUGCACUUAGUUAAUAGCUACAGGUAACUGCACUUAGUUAAUAGCUACAGGUAACUGCACUUAGUUAAUAACUACAGGUAACUGCACUUAGUUAAUAGCUACAGGUAACUGCACUUAGUUAAUAACUACAGUUAGUUAA
Austrofundulus limnaeus is the source of this 241-nucleotide long non-coding RNA. RefSeq lists it as uncharacterized. The record is from RefSeq and is a predicted model, not a curated record. The transcript is spliced from 4 exons. NCBI's taxonomy places the organism in Eukaryota, Metazoa, Chordata, Actinopteri, Cyprinodontiformes, Rivulidae.